AAAAAUUUAAAUAGCGUAUUAUAAUAUAUUUUAAAUUGGGUAAAGCGUGCAAAAUUUGUAAAUGGUAUUGGCGGUUUUUAUAACGUACGAAAGGAAAUUUUUAUUAAAACUAACGGUAAAAAAUUAGCGUUUUACCAUUUCCACAUUAUAUUAAUUUUAUUAUAGGAAAUAAUGGUUAAUCGGUCGAGCAAUUCCAAUUUUUUGCGGAUUAUAAAAAUUUAUUAGUUUUUUAAAAAUAUUAUUUGGGUGUAAUAAAUAUAAUGGAUGGCGUGGCAAAUUAUUUGGGGAUGGAUAUUAAACGUGAUUUUAUUAAAAAUUUCCGAUCGGCAACGAUAAAAUGGAAUAGCGACCUGGUUUUGCAAUUUCCGGCACGGGAAAUCGACCAAUUAAAAUAAAACGAGGAAUAUAUUCGAUUAAAAAAAUAUAUUUUUACAUUUAAUAUUUUUAUCGACGGCGCCCUUUUUAAAAAAAAAAAUACGAACAAUAUAUAGCCGUUCGCAAACAGGCGUACGAAAAUCGUCGAAAAUUCGUAAAACAAAAGUUUUAAAAAUACCGGCAAUAUAUAAUUAAUUAAAAAAACGAUUGGUACCGGGACUAUUUUUUUCGCAUAAUAUAUAUAGUACCUAAACGCCAAAAAUUAUUUAAAAAUUUGGGUCGAAAAAAAAUAUUUCGAAAUUUAACAGGCAUUUUAACGUUGGAAGAUUUUAUUGUUUUUCGAAUAGGGGAUUGGCGGGUCGCAUACCAAUUUCAACUAAAACCUAAAAACGGCAUAUACCCCGUAAAAUUCUGCAAUAAAAUAAUUAAAAGGUAAUUGUAAAAUAUAACAUGCCAAUAAUAUACGUUAAUUACCCCAAAAUACGUUGUUAAUUAUUUAUAUUGGUUUUUAACCUCCACGUUUUGCAAAAAUGGUUGCAUAUAUAUCGAUAUUUUGAAAAACGUUUCAAAGCCGAUUACAAAUUCGCCAAAUUUUGUUUCCUAUAUAAUUAUUGGGUUAUAAAUAAGUAGAAAUGGGAAUAUUAUUGCCAAAAAUAUAUUAACGACGGGGAUAUAUUAUUUCGAUAUAAUCCCGUUAUUUUCCAGUACGUUUAUAUAUAUGCUGGAUAUUAUCCCAUUUAUUUAGGCCGGACAAAUAUCCUUGCGAACAAAUGGAUAAAAAUAUAUAUAAAUUUAAAAAUUUGGCGAUUAUAUAUUUCGAAAUACGUUAUUAAUUAUAUAAUAAUUAGGUUUUAUUUUAACAAUUUUAAAUGCCUAUAUCCAAAUUAUUUUACUCCAAUGGAUUUAAAAAAAAGCCUUUGGUAUUAUUUCCAAAAUAUCCACAGCGUCGAAAAUACGUUACCAAAAAAACGUAUUUUUAAUUUCGAAAAAAACAACCACGGCCGAUUUGGAUCGAUCCGUUUUGCCAAAAAACAAAAAAUAAUAUUAGGUCCCAAUCCGACAAUUAUUGCGACGUUAAUAUCCGAACAAAUAAUUGCUAUUAUAUUUGUUAACCUAUAUAUUUGCAAUCCUAAACGUUUCAAUUUUAAUAUAAUUUAAUAGGGCGCUAUUUGCGUUUAUUACGUCGCCUAUUUUUAAUAUUAAUAAAUUAAUUUCGUCCAACCAGGACAAAUAAUGUUCGACCUUAUCGACGGAUCCCAAUUCCCUAAAAGAUUUUUGCAUUAUUAAAAAUCCUAAUAAUUUAUUGCGAUACGUUUUGUUUUUGGAUUUAGGUUUUCCCGGGGUAUUACAACCUAACCCAUUUUAUAUUCCAAGUUUUAAAAGGAGAUUUAUAAAAUUAAUAAAUCCUGCGUUUAUUAAAUUACCCGUUGCAAUAUUAAAAUGUAAUUUUUUAGGGGACGUUAACCCCCCGAAUAAAAAUAAUACCGAUUUAAUAGGGUUUGCGUUACAAAAUAUAUUGGUUAAUACCAAAUAUUUUCCGAAUUUGCUAAAAAAUAAACCAAUUGCGUUUAAUGCAAAAAAUAAUAUAUGGGAGGCCGAGAAAUUUUUCGCGAAAUGGGGUUUAAAAAAAAAACUUUAUUAUUUUGUUAAAUGGAAGGGGUUCCCAUAUAAAAAUAAUACGUGGGAACCAAAAAAUAAUAUUAGCGAAAAUUUUAUUAAAAGUUUCGAAUCGAAUUUUGAGGGAAAUUAUACAGGAAUGCGAUUAUUUAAUAAAAAAAAAUGGGCUGGAAACGUUAAAUAUUUGGUAAAAUGGAAAAAUCGACCAAAAAGCGAAAAGUUAUGGGAAAAGGCCAAAACGUUAAAUAGCGCACGGGUUCGGGAAUACGAAAUAAAAAUAUAAAAUUUAUAAAUAAUUAACAAACGUUAAAAUAAAUUAAAUAGCCAAUUACGGUUUUUUGGCAGAUUAAUCCUGGAAUUUUAUACGCACCAAAUUCCGUAAAAAUGGUGCCAAUAAAUCGAAAAAACGAAUAACCAAAAUUAAUGCACGGCGGUAUAUAUUUACGGUACCGCAAUAAGGUGUAAAAAUAUAUAUAUUAAUACGUGUUUUAAAUUAAAUGCAAAACGCAUCGGAAAUAAAAUUGGUUAAAAAACAAAACGUUUUUUACUAAAUUACGUAUAAAUAUAUAAAUAUUACGGCCAGGGUAAAUAUAAUAUAAAAACUAGUUUAUUGGUAUUUAUCGACGAAAAUUUUGUUCCGAAGAAAGGAAAAAAAACAAACCAAAUUGCUAAAUUUUACGCGACGCGGAUAAAAGGUAACCCGGGUCGUUAAUUAAUAUAUAUCGAUUUUCCGUAUUUGCCCUAUAAAAUACCAAUCGAUACUGGUUUUUAAUUAUAUACGCAUUUGCCCUAACCGAUAACCCCUAAAUAUUUUAAUUAAUUAAUCCAAUUUAAUAAUAUGCUGGCCGGUCGUAUUAUUACAGCGAAUUAUUAUUU
This 2868-nucleotide small RNA is filed under the name Pyricularia oryzae. RNAcentral's name for it is "Magnaporthe oryzae sRNA M_BR32_EuGene_00127901". Lineage: Eukaryota; Fungi; Ascomycota; Sordariomycetes; Magnaporthales; Pyriculariaceae. The record is from RNAcentral.